Non-coding RNA from Ramicandelaber brevisporus, 72 nucleotides. NCBI's taxonomy places the organism in Eukaryota, Fungi, Kickxellomycota, Ramicandelaberales, Ramicandelaberaceae. The record is from the annotation of a GenBank genome assembly.
GGGCUGUUGGUCUAGAGGUAUGAUUCUCCGUUAGGGUCGGAGAGGUCCCGGGUUCGAUCCCCGGAUAGCCCC